RNAcentral lists this transfer-messenger RNA (342 nucleotides) under Lacrimispora xylanolytica. It matches the Rfam family "transfer-messenger RNA". Rfam says of the family: Bacterial tmRNA, also known as 10Sa RNA or SsrA, is named for its dual tRNA and mRNA-like properties. Its role is to liberate the mRNA from a stalled ribosome. To accomplish this part of the tmRNA is used as a reading frame that ends in a translation stop signal. RNAcentral also lists the same sequence under 2 other names. Lineage: Bacteria; Bacillati; Bacillota; Clostridia; Lachnospirales; Lachnospiraceae. The record is from RNAcentral.
GGGGCAGUACUGGUUUCGACAGGGGCUAUGCAGCUGGUGAAGCUAUCCGUAUGCGAUGCGUCAAAUGGCAAACCUAAAUAUAAACGCUAACAAUAAUAAAUUAGCUUUAGCAGCGUAAGCUGCUUGUCGGCCUUAAGGCACUCACACUUUAAGAUCCCGGCAUCGACUAUGUGAGAAACGACGUGUACAAAGCUUUGAGUACACGGACGUAUUAUGAAGCUACUGAAGCUGUAAGGGUGUCAGUUCCCGUGCAGCGGAGGGAAUGUCAAUAGACUGACUAUGAUAGUAGAAGAACAGGGAAUUGGUUUUUGGACACGGGUUCAACUCCCGUCUGCUCCACUA